UGAGGAAUAUUGGUCAAUGGACGCAAGUCUGAACCAGCCAAGCAGCGUGCAGGAUGACGGCCCUAUGGGUUGUAAACUGCUUUUAUAUGGGGAUAAAGUGGGGAACGUGUUCCCUUUUGCAGGUACCAUAUGAAUAAGGACCGGCUAAUUCCGUGCCAGCAGCCGCGGUAAUACGGAAGGUUCGGGCGUUAUCCGGAUUUAUUGGGUGUAAAGGGAGCGUAGGCCGUUUGGUAAGCGUGUUGUGAAAUGUAGGAGCUCAACUUCUAGAGUGCAGCGCGAACUGUCAGGCUUGAGUGCGCACAACGUAGGCGGAAUUCAUGGUGUAGCGGUGAAAUGCUUAGAUAUCAUGAAGAACUCCGAUUGCGAAGGCAGCUUACGGGGGCGCAACUGACGCUGAAGCUCGAAGGUGCGGGUAGCGAACAGG
Molecule: ribosomal RNA, 424 nt
Filed under: Verrucomicrobiota bacterium
Lineage: Bacteria; Pseudomonadati; Verrucomicrobiota
Description: Verrucomicrobia bacterium partial 16S ribosomal RNA
Rfam family: Bacterial small subunit ribosomal RNA
Source: RNAcentral